UAAAUGUAUAACUCUUUAUUGUCUUUGGUUCAGUUAUUUUUAUCCAUAUAAAAAUAUCACAACCAAAGCUACAACUAGUGCAUGAUCUACAGAUCCGGGAAAUAUAGUUAGUCGAAAUCUACUCCUUCCAACCAAAAUCUGGUGAAGCUUGUACAUGAGACUCGUCUGGGCUACAAUGGAAUUGCCUCCAUAGAUGGUGCAGGAUCUCUGGAAGGAGCAACCUUUCACCUUGAAGUCAGAGGUAGAUUCUGCUGAAUUUUCUCUUACAAGAAAGGCCUCUAUCUCACUUCUACUAAACUUGUUCAAUGUUCUUUGCACUCUGAAUAUCAUUUUCUUCUCCCCUUCUUCACCUUCCUUAAAAACAUG
RNAcentral lists this unclassified non-coding RNA (366 nucleotides) under Hevea brasiliensis (rubber tree). The record is from RNAcentral. Lineage: Eukaryota; Viridiplantae; Streptophyta; Magnoliopsida; Malpighiales; Euphorbiaceae.